Long non-coding RNA from Syzygium oleosum, 616 nucleotides. RefSeq lists it as uncharacterized. The record is from RefSeq and is a predicted model, not a curated record. NCBI's taxonomy places the organism in Eukaryota, Viridiplantae, Streptophyta, Magnoliopsida, Myrtales, Myrtaceae. The transcript has 2 exons.
AUCGGGGAGCAUAGAAAAAGAAUGGUAAGUCUGUUAAACAUGUUGUAAGUGAAUUUAAUUCAAUUGCUCAUUUAUGUUUAUAUUUUGUAGGCAGAUAAAUUGGGGACGAAAUCGACAUAUACAGCUACAUUUGAACGCACAUUUCAAAAAAAAGAUAAAACAUGGACUGGCGAUCGAGCAAAAGCUAUUAAGGUAACGGGUGGGAUGAAAAGAGGAAAAAUAUCUGCUGCAACUUCAUCCUCCAAUGCGGCUGUUUCAAGGAUUACACGAUUUAAGGAGCAAAUGACCCAAAAAUUGAGCCAACUGAAUCAUUUAUUUGUAAAGCAGGACGAAGAAAUAAGAGUGCUCCAACAACAAAUGAAAUUAGUCUUGCGACACCUCAACCUGGAUCACGAUGAGGUUCCUCCUGUACCUCCGACUAAUCCAAUAGGUGAUGGGCAUAAUGAUGAGUGACAUGAUGAUGAUGACAUUGCUGAUGAUGAUGAUGAUUUUGUCAGUCCUUGCUAGUUAAAGUUUCCAUUUUCAUAUCAUUAUAAUAUUUUUAAGCACUCAAUUUUGAGCACUAUGUAUUUCAUCAUCAUAUCAUUAUGUAUUUAAGCACUAAUUUUUUAUGUUA